CAAGACUAAGUCGGUCUAUUCAAACUUAAAAUUAGAAUCAAUCUUUUUAUGGUCUUAACUUACAGGUUUAAUAACAAGAUUUUUUACAAAAGUAAAAGACAUAAAGAAGUUGAAACCAACAGAGCGAGAGUUUGAGGUUUUAACUGGACAGUGUAAGUUAGUCAUUAAGUCUAUCUCAGGGCGAGAGCAAGUUUUAGAAUUAAUUAAAUUCUGACCUUUUUCCAAAAAGUAUUUUUAAAGAUUGAAUGUGAGGACGAGAGUUAAGCAUUUAGAUUUAAUUGUAUAACCUAAGUCAACAGAGCGAGAGUUUGAG
Molecule: long non-coding RNA, 313 nt
Filed under: Lathyrus oleraceus (garden pea)
Lineage: Eukaryota; Viridiplantae; Streptophyta; Magnoliopsida; Fabales; Fabaceae
Description: Pisum sativum (pea) long non-coding RNA (PSAT_LNC003225)
Source: RNAcentral